GACGAACGCUGGCGGCGUGCUUAACACAUGCAAGUCGAACGGAAAGGCCCUGCUUUUGUGGGGUGCUCGUGUGGCGAACGGGUGAGUAACACGUGAGUAAACUGCCCUUGACUUUGGGAUAACUUCAGGAAACUGGGGCUAAUACCGGAUAGGAGCUCCUGCUGCAUGGUGGGGGUUGGAAAGUUUCGGCGGUUGGGGAUGGACUCGCGGGUUAUCAGCUUGUUGGGGGGGUAGUGGCUUACCAAGGCUUUGACGGGUAGCCGGCCUGAGAGGGUGAACGGCCACAUUGGGACUGAGAUACGGCGCAGACUCCUACGGGAGGCAGCAGUGGGGAAUAUUGCACAAUGGGCGGAAGCCUGAUGCAGCGACGCCGCGUGCGGGAUGACGGCCUUCGGGUUGUAAACCGCUUUCGCCUGUGACGAAGCGUGAGUGACGGUAAUGGGUAAAGAAGCACCGGCUAACUACGUG
RNAcentral lists this ribosomal RNA (468 nucleotides) under uncultured bacterium. RNAcentral's name for it is "partial 16S ribosomal RNA". It matches the Rfam family "Bacterial small subunit ribosomal RNA", at positions 28 to 507 of the family's 1533-position model. The record is from RNAcentral.